GACGAACGCUGGCGGCGUGCCUAAUACAUGCAAGUAGAACGCACAGUUUAUACCGUAGCUUGCUACACCAUAGACUGUGAGUUGCGAACGGGUGAGUAACGCGUAGGUAACCUGCCUGGUAGCGGGGGAUAACUAUUGGAAACGAUAGCUAAUACCGCAUAAUAUUGAUUAUUGCAUGAUAAUUGAUUGAAAGAUGCUAUUGCAUCACUACCAGAUGGACCUGCGUUGUAUUAGCUAGUAGGUGAGGUAACGGCUCACCUAGGCGACGAUACAUAGCCGACCUGAGAGGGUGAUCGGCCACACUGGGACUGAGACACGGCCCAGACUCCUACGGGAGGCAGCAGUAGGGAAUCUUCGGCAAUGGACGAAAGUCUGACCGAGCAACGCCGCGUGAGUGAAGAAGGUUUUCAGAUCGUAAAGCCCUGUUGUAAGAGAAGAACGGGUGUGAGAGUGGAAAGUUCACACUGUGACGGUAUCUUACCAGAAAGGGACGGCUAACUACGUG
RNAcentral lists this ribosomal RNA (505 nucleotides) under uncultured bacterium. RNAcentral describes it as "partial 16S ribosomal RNA". It matches the Rfam family "Bacterial small subunit ribosomal RNA", at positions 28 to 507 of the family's 1533-position model. The record is from RNAcentral.